CUAAUAGAAUCUUCGCUUCUGAAGACUGAAGUGAACAAGGAAAGUGCUUUAUACCAUGGCAGAGUUAUACACCACGCCGGGAGCCCUCCUACCUUUACUACAUGGGCUCAGUGUCCACGGAGAACUCCAAGCUCUGGAAAUGUCAGGAUUAGUCAAGAAGACAGUAAGAUCUCAAGUCACCACCAGCACCAAAUGAUAGAGUCAACAAUCCCAACUCCCUUUUCAGGCCCCUUAUCUAGAAAAGGGACUAUGCCCACAGUCCCACUGGGAAUUGCUUUCAGAGGAGCUGAUGAAAGCUGUGAAGGCACUGUUGCCCAACAGUGAGGGGAGUGGAAACAACUUGGCAGAACCUCUGGGAAGGCCCAUCAGGGCAUGAGAUCAGUGACCAGAGACGAGGACCACACUCCAGGGGUAGAGGCAGAACCACAUGUCAUGCCCUGCAGACUCCAGAGCUGCAUCUCCAAGACAGAGGGAGGCCUCCAGCAGACAAGAUGCGGAUGCGGGCCUUCUAAAACUCAGGAUCUUGCAUGAUUGUAAGCAGGAGUGGCUUAGAUGGAGUCAUUAAGGAGAAAACAGCAUUGGAUGUGCACACAGACCUGGCCCUGAAUCCUAUCUUGCCAUUC
Molecule: long non-coding RNA, 623 nt
Filed under: Equus asinus (donkey)
Lineage: Eukaryota; Metazoa; Chordata; Mammalia; Perissodactyla; Equidae
Description: lncRNA (ENSEASG00005029297.1)
Source: RNAcentral